UGUCGAGCAUUUUUAGCACAAUUAGCCGACAAGCAAUAGGGCUUACUAAGUGGAGUCAGAGUCAGUCCACUUAGUCCAGACUUGUUUCUAAACACUCGGCUUUAAAGCUCUGAAAACGUUGACAAAUUAGACAAAUUAGUCCAGAUUUUAUUUUUCUGUUGCGUUGCACUGAUUAGCAGUUAUGUUUCCGUGCAGUUACACCGAUGGAGCUUGUGAAUGCUGCUUGCUAACCACGCUGGCUAGCAUUAGCUUAUAGCAGUCAAUGUAGGAUAAACAAGUCUAGCUGUCCUUCAGCUGUAGCGAGUGUAGACUGCCAGUGAGCUGUUUACCUCAGCUGUCAAUAUGUGUCCAGACGAAGGCUCUACAACAAUACGAGUCAGUGGGUCACUGAAGCUUAUUCCUGCCUGACGAACCUGCCUGUAACCCAAGUGAAAAAUAUCCCAGAAGAACAAAGACGUCAAUGACAAACCUUCUGUCAUGGUCCGUGGCUCUGUGCCUGAGGAGUGCGUUGGAUGCCCCGGCGGCCACACCCCCUGCAUCUCAUCCCAGGCGAUUUGGUGGAGGAGUAUUUAACCCUGCACAGACAGCUGCUCCACGCUAGUCCAUCAGUCACUUCACAGUGGUUUCUGUCCGGCGUGCUGCGCUAGUCACCUGCCUGUCCUCCUGCCCGCUUGGACCUCCGAGUAUUCCACCUGUUCUCGUCUCCGCCUCCUCGGACUUACCUUCCACGGACGUACUCCCCUAUCCGGGUUCCACGGUCCGGCUCAGAUUGUAAGCCAGACUGCCUUCGCCCUGCACUCUAGUAACCUUUCCCCCUUUCUGUUGCAGCCUCCCACGGUCUCGACCACGGCUCCCCUGUGCCACUUUGCUUUCCUGGUUUUCUUUCGACUAGUUACUCAUUUCCCUGGGUUGUCUCGGG
Molecule: long non-coding RNA, 919 nt
Organism: Oreochromis niloticus (Nile tilapia)
Lineage: Eukaryota; Metazoa; Chordata; Actinopteri; Cichliformes; Cichlidae
Exons: 3
Source: RefSeq, a predicted model, not a curated record